AUUGAACGCUGGCGGCAUGCCUUACACAUGCAAGUCGAACGGCAGCACGGGAGCAAUCCUGGUGGCGAGUGGCGAACGGGUGAGUAAUAUAUCGGAACGUGCCCAGUCGUGGGGAUAACGUAGCGAAAGCUACGCUAAUACCGCAUACGAUCUAUGGAUGAAAGCGGGGGAUCGCAAGACCUCGCGCGAUUGGAGCGGCCGAUAUCAGAUUAGGUAGUUGGUGAGGUAAAGGCUCACCAAGCCGACGAUCUGUAGCUGGUCUGAGAGGACGACCAGCCACACUGGGACUGAGACACGGCCCAGACUCCUACGGGAGGCAGCAGUGGGGAAUUUUGGACAAUGGGCGCAAGCCUGAUCCAGCAAUGCCGCGUGCAGGAUGAAGGCCUUCGGUUGUAACUGCUUUGUACGG
Molecule: ribosomal RNA, 409 nt
Filed under: uncultured bacterium
Lineage: Bacteria
Description: bacterial SSU rRNA
Rfam family: Bacterial small subunit ribosomal RNA
Source: RNAcentral